RNAcentral lists this small RNA (2645 nucleotides) under Arabidopsis thaliana (thale cress). RNAcentral's name for it is "ATSL008560". Lineage: Eukaryota; Viridiplantae; Streptophyta; Magnoliopsida; Brassicales; Brassicaceae. The record is from RNAcentral.
UGAUAUUUUAUCAUAGAUUAUUGUCAUCGUAUUACUUAUGAUAACUCUGUAGGAGUUUUAAUGAUUUUCAAAACAAAUAUUAGUUUGAUCAAUAUAUUUUGACAAACUCAACGUAAAUAUACAUUUAUAUGAUUAUAUGUCAUGUUACAUAUUUCUUUUUAUUCGAUCGAGUAGAGUUCUAGAGAACAUAAUUCUCAUAUAAUUAAUCCUUCAGAGAUUAUAUCUUUCAAGAAUUUUAUAUAAAUGUCAUAUCCAGUGUUCCGUCUCUUAUUGCCAGACUUUAGAUACUUAAAAAAAAUAUUACAUCCACCACAAGAGAAUAUAUCUCUUCAUAAUACAUUUCUUAUCUUUGUGAAAAUCUCAUUAAUUUCACUAUUCUUUCACAUAAAGACUCAUUUAUUUUCCACUGGUUUUACACAUCAUGUGCAUAGAUUACUAGUCCAAAUAUCUCUACUAGAGAUUAUAAUUAUAUGUCUAUUUCUUCUUUUCCAUUUUUUUUGCUAAUCAUUACUUUGUGUACACUUUUCAAUAGACUUUCUUUCAUGAUCCUCCUUUUUGUCUAUAAUAUCAACUGCUCAUAGCAUGCAAAUAUAUUACGAUGUCGAUUUGCUUUUGAUUCCAUUAUAUUUUGACAUGACAUAGCUAGCUAGAUCUCUUCAUUGUCAAGUACUUGAAUGUUUCAUUUGUCAUGUUUAUGUCUCUUUUAGAGAUCAUUCACUCUCUUCAAGAGAUCAUCAAAAUAUUUAUUUCCUCAAUUUGGUCAUUUUUAAUUUUGUGCUCCUUCACUUUUACGAGGAUAUUUAUAUUUGGAACCAAGGUCUAUUACGCUUCAUGCGAUCUUAAGACUCAAAAGCAGUUUGAAAUUGGUCCUUACAGGACAUUCAUUAUAUUCUGGAGCAUUUAAUUUACAACUGAUAUAAGUGACUUCAUCACUUUAUUUGGGUCAGCAAAUGCGUCUGGCAAUUACAACGCUAAAUUCUGUAAUUGAAUUAUCUUUUGGACUCUUAAUAUACAUUCUUUACUCCGAGGAUCAUUGAUAAUUCAUUUCUAUUUAUCUUUUUCACCAGCUGUAUACAUUCUCCCCCUUAUGUUGGAAUAGCUGACUAUAUAAUAUGAUAGUCUUCAAAACGAGCGGUAUAUAAAUCCUUCUAAGAUGGCUUAGUUAUCAUUCAUAUCCAACAUGUAUUCUUAUCCUCCUUUGAGGGUUCAUCUCUGCGUGCUGUGGUGGAGCACUUUUCACAUUCAAAGCUUUUAGAUGAAAACUAUUUGGUUUCUGACCCAAAACCAAUAAUAAUGGGGAAAACUAUUAAUUAUUCAUUGGCUUGAUGCGUAUCGAUGUUACUAAACCAUUUUGUGUAUGAACAUGAAUUUCAAAAUGUUAAACACUUAUCCCAACGGAUAUCUAAUAAUGGUUAUUAUAAAUAAACACUGAAAUACUCUUGUACUUUAAUCAAGAAAGUAAUCUCGCAAACUCUAUGUUGCGGGUUUAUAACAAGGAUAAAUAUGACCUUCUUGUCGAUUCAACAAUCGAGUCAAUGCGUCCAUUGAAUCGAUGCAUCUUUUACAACCAUUAGGUAUCUAAAUGUCAUAUACUGGGUGAUCAACCCAUAAUUAUCUUCUUGUAUAUACUUACGAAUAGAUAAAGUCCAAAUUACUUACACUGGUAAAAAUCACAUUAUCAUAUUGCUUUCUGAGCAAGUAACAUUUGAUAAAUCAUUAGAGAGAAUCUUCUGGUUUUUCACCUAAUGUCCACAUAAUUCUCAAUACUUUCACAUCAUCAUUAAACCAGGAUGACCAAUCCGGUUAAGCCAAAUAUACUCUUGAAACUUUUAAUUCUUUUGAAACUUCUAGUUCUUUCAAAACUUCUAAUUUACUUUUCAUUGCUUAUCACUUACUCCCUUAAUGAGAUCUUAUAAUCAAAAUUACUUCCAUGUAUUUUAAUAAUCAAUCAUAUGUUAAUAAAACAAUAACGAGAUAAUAAUUAAAAUUUUAUAUUCUAGUAUAAACGAUAUUAAAUUUGACUAGCUAUGUAAGAUCUUAUAUUCACUUGAGUUACUUAUCAGUGAUAACUCUUAUGUUUUCUUAGCCUUUGAAAAACACUCGAUUUAAGUUUAUAAUAGUUCUCAAAAUUUCUUUCAAAAUAUUGUAUCUACAGGACAACAAUACUUGCGUAAAAGUUUAAGCGUCUGUUUUACCAUCUCUGCAUCAUAGAUAUUCUCUUAACAAUGUGAGUUAUAUUCACAAAGAGACUUCAAGUCUUGAAGUUUCAGUAAUAACUAAUUAUAACUUAUUUUAUCUAAUAACACAUCCAUAUAAGAAUUAUUUUGUACAACUUUUAGAUCUUUAGUAGUCAAAGAUUGAACAUAAUCUUCUGGAUAUGUCACUUAUUAUCCAUGUGAGAUUCAUUACUUCUCCUCCUCGAAAUGAUGAAACUUCAAGUUCAUCCAUCUCGUUUUUAAUUCCACUCUAGAAUCAUAAUGUAUUUUAUAUCUGAUCAUAUUAACUUUAAGAUUUGGAGAAUUAUAUGGCAUCAAUGAUUUUAAUUUUGUAUUCCCAUAAAAAACAAUGUAUAUGCUCUUCUAGAGUCUUUUAAUAAGAUUUUAUACUACUUGAUAUACUAGAUUAUUUCAUCGUUAGAAAUUUUU